CCUACUUAGUAUGGCCGUACCCACCUCUCCAUCUAGAUUUUCCUAUUCGUCGUCUCUCUCCCCCUCCUUCCGUGAUUCCCCUCUCACCCGAGAUCAAUGGCAUGACACUGACCGGCACCGCCGAUUGCUCCUAGCUCCAGCGCUCUCCCAGACGUCACUCACCUACCCUGCUGCCCCUCGGCCUCUCCUCUGAUCCUCCGCCACUGCGGCCUCCUCCGGACCCCUGCACAUGCCCCUGCAUCUAGCCACCACGGGUGGCUGGUGCGACUGUCGCGUAGGUUCUCUACCCCACGUCUGCAUGCGCGCCGCUGCCGGAUAGGUUCGAAGGUGCUGCCCCCCCUCGGCUACCCCGCCUCCAUCACCGGCUGAUUAAAUGGUGUAGCCGCAAAACUGCACAAUUAACCAGUGACGACGAGCAAAAUUGCAGAUCUUUUCGUCAUGCCCACACGCCGUGGAGCCACCGACCUGCCUGAGCCGCCCCUGAUCAGUGCCAACUCCGCGAGAGAAAACUAUGUAAGAGCUUCAGUGCUCAAGUCAGAAACUUGUACGAUUUCACCUUGCAACAAUUGCUCAGUCAGAACUCAUGGUUCUCCAUUGGCUAAUUUCUCAGAUUAGGAGUUGAGAUAAACAUCAAUAUGCUAAAGAUUACAGAGAAGUUUCCCAGUCUAGAAAAGAAAAUAUGACGCCAAGGUGAUCUAUGCAGCUGCGAUGCUGAAAAGUUUGUGUACGUUCUUCUGACCAUCUCUCAAAUGUCUCACAUAUCUUUUUAUAGAUCAAGUGUUGAUGACAUUUGAGCAAAAAAGUGUGUAAUUUCCAAUUCUACAGUACUACUAAUGCUAUUUUGAUGCAAUGCUAUGCCUGAUAUCUUCUAGCAUUCCCUGUAGUUUUUAUACUGAUGUAAAUAUAGUACCAAACCGGUCCGUAUAACUGAAUACAGAGUUUCUAAGGGUCUUGUUGCUUGGAGAGGCUAAUACCCCAUUUUGUCAAGAUAUUUACACUUCUUGUACUAUAGUUUAUUACUUUUGUUCUAAAAUUUACCUUGUUUUACUAAAUUACGUUGUUACUACAGUUUUGCAUUGUUGUACUUGAAUUUGCCUUGCCAUUGUACUAAAAUUUAACCAUGAGUAGGCAGGAAUAGCUCAUGGGAGCCAAAUAAUGAGAAAGAAGUACUCAGGAGAACAUAACUCAAAAUCUACUUAGGAUGUGACCUUCAAAUAACUCAGAAAUGAUAACUAGUACAUGAUUCAUGAUAGAAUUGCACCAGGCACAUGACAUCCAGUUACAUAACUGUAUAUAGUAGAUUGUACUUGAUGGCUAUAUUGUUCCUCUUAAACUUGUUCGGGAAACUGGUUUGGUCUGAAUUAUAUAUGAUGAAAUUUAGUUAUGUUCAUUUUUUGGGCGCAUUAUCAAAAUUCAGUCAUUUGUUUUCACAGUAGUUGCUUGCAUUUAGUAGGUGAAAAUAGUGGGUGAAGAUGAAUGAUUUUGUGAUACAAUUUUUUUAUAUUGUUUCAUUAAAAUAUGGCUGGAUCCCCAAAAAGAUUUAUGUUUAACAUAGUUAUUGUUGAACCACUAGAAUAAUUACACCCCGGUUGGAACACACGGCAAUUUCCUAGCAUAUUUAAUAAAAGUCUUGGUAAAUCAUAUUUGUGAGCAUGUAACACAGUACCUAAUUUAGGUACAUCCAAAUUUUGCAUGACAUAUGCAUCAUUUUCUUUGAACCUAAAGUAUUUUUAAAUUGUUGAAACCUUGCAUCUAUUUGUAUUUUCUAGAGAACUGGAAAUGUUUCUUUGAAAAAGAAUGAUGUGUGGUAUGUCAGCACAUGUUUUUUCAAACGAAGUAUGUCAUUUCUUGUAUUACUAUUUUAAGUUUUUGUUAACUCAAUUGACAGAUAGCAGAUUUGUUCAUAAGAAUACAAGGAUCAAAAGCGCUUGUCAGAUGUAGGUUAUUAUUUUCCUCUUCAUGCAAAGCACCUACUCUCAUGGCCUUCAACCUUUUUAUGUUGCUCCUCCUUUACAUUUUGCUGCUCUAUUAACCUAAUUUUCUCUAUCGUAAGUUACUCAUCUCAUGGUUUUUGUAGAUUGCAACAUAAAUGGAUUGUGCAUGGCUCGCAUGUUGAUUGCAAGGAUGAGAAUGGGCUACUAUUAUAAUUAGAGUUGUCAUUUUCAGGACAAUGUUUCAAUAGUUGAUUGUAAGGUCAAGAAUUUGGCUAGUACUAGAUAAAAACAUUAUAGCGAUUGCUAGUUGAGAAUUUGGCUACUACUAUAGAUAGUUUCACAUCUUGUAAUCUUUCAAUCAUAUUCUUUGUAAUGCAACAUAGUUGAUUUAAUAUAUGAGAUGUUUCUAUUUA
Molecule: non-coding RNA, 2347 nt
Organism: Aegilops tauschii subsp. strangulata
Lineage: Eukaryota; Viridiplantae; Streptophyta; Magnoliopsida; Poales; Poaceae
Source: RefSeq, a predicted model, not a curated record